GCAGUUAUGUUUUUAUUAUUAUUCAAAUUAAUAAUAAAUAUAAAUUAUGUUACAAAUGAAUUUAUAUAGCAAUUUAAUGACUAAUUUUUGUUUAUUAAUAAUAAAAAACAUGAGUAGAUUAUGGUACCUGUUGGAUUUGCAAGUUCUAAGAAAACACACAUUAAAUAGAUUUUCACUCUAUUUUUUUUUUUUUUUGUUCAAAAGAUUUUCACUCUAUUUAUAAUGGUUUAGAUCUUCCAAAAAUAGAAUGUAACAAUUUCUUUAGAAAACUUAAACUUUGAUAUUAUAACAACGAUAUUUAUUUC
RNAcentral lists this long non-coding RNA (305 nucleotides) under Capsella rubella. Its description in RNAcentral is "long non-coding RNA (CRUB_LNC003203)". Lineage: Eukaryota; Viridiplantae; Streptophyta; Magnoliopsida; Brassicales; Brassicaceae. The record is from RNAcentral.